GCUGGUAUAGCUCAGUUGGUAGAGCGCACCCUUGGUAAGGGUGAGGUCCCCAGUUCGAAUCUGGGUACUAGCA
RNAcentral lists this transfer RNA (73 nucleotides) under Photobacterium lutimaris. RNAcentral's name for it is "tRNA-Thr". It matches the Rfam family "tRNA". From Rfam's summary of the family: Transfer RNA (tRNA) molecules are approximately 80 nucleotides in length. Their secondary structure includes four short double-helical elements and three loops (D, anti-codon, and T loops). The record is from RNAcentral. Lineage: Bacteria; Pseudomonadati; Pseudomonadota; Gammaproteobacteria; Vibrionales; Vibrionaceae. RNAcentral also lists the same sequence under 1 other name.